This 2740-nucleotide long non-coding RNA is filed under the name Homo sapiens (human). RNAcentral's name for it is "HSALNT0119750". Lineage: Eukaryota; Metazoa; Chordata; Mammalia; Primates; Hominidae. The record is from RNAcentral.
UGAGGUAGCCUUGGCGACUUUCGAGACUACCCAGGCCGAGCACACCCAGCCCCCUCAGACCCAGGCAUUUCUGCGUCCUCUGGUUUGGAGGGAACCCAGGGGGCUGAGGUGAAGCAAGCCAGGACUGUUUCUCUGACUCUUCUGGAAGACGACCCGCUGCUCGGGCCGCCUCAUCACUGCGGGCCACGAGUGCCCUUCUUCAUUCCAGACAUGGUGCUUUGAACAAUUUGACUUGGAGGCAAGAUUGCGAUAUAGAAAAUGGGCCACUGUGGAGGAGAUAAGUAAAUGCUUUGUCGCUUCUAAGUGACAGGGGAAACUGAUCACGAUUGGUAUACUUCUGACAUGUAACUUUCUAUAUCUUUAGAAGAUCGUCAGGGAAAUAGAAAAAAAAAUCUGAAAUCUCCAAGUAGGUUCUACUUUGUGUGGUUCCAACUAAAUGAACUAAAUUUGUGUUUAAAGAUUGUAAGUCUACAUGUAAUGGUGAAAGCUGAAGGUUUUACACUGCACAGAAAUAGUGAUUUCCCCCCGUGGAGGGCAAGAAGACCGGAAUAGGAGGGGUGGGUGGGGGAAUCAAUGUGUAGGCCAAAUAUUUGAAAUUUCAGUGCAAUCUUCUUAGUCAUCACUUUCAUUUCUGUCUUCUAGGGAAAUCUGACACAGCUAGAAAGCAAUGGAAAACACUAAGAGUUGCAUCAGAUGUUGAAGAGGAACUGAUAUUAUGGGAUAAAAAAUGAUUCUUUAAGGGAGAUAACUGGUCAUUUAAAGGUAGCAGCCUUUUUGGGAAAAGCUAACAAGUGUUCCCGAGGCCAGCCUGUCUCUUGUUAGCAACAUUGGCCCUGUGUUAGAAGGAAGAGUGGAUGUGUUUUGAUGCUAUUCCUUUUCCUCUCAGCAUAAAUUUGCAAGCAUGUACUGUAAAUGAAUUUUCAUGUCUUUUCAGGAUGUUUCCCUAUAGAGCAGUUUCUAGAUUGACUCUGUGGAACAGUCUACAAUAGAUUUAAUAUGGUUAGGAUUUUGCCUAAUUCUGAUUGAAAAUAAACCCGAAGAAGGAACCAUAAUGGGAAAAUUGAAGACUGACUAGAGGCUUCUCGUUCCUGACUCUGGUCUGGAUGUAUUUGUACUAGAAGAUGAGUAUUUGCACUAUAAGAAUAGUAGCCCCAGUGGAGAAGGUGGGACAAGUAGGUCUGGGUGAGGCCUGAGAGUCUGCAUUUUCAAUAAGCAUCUAGAUAGUGCCUGCUGUUUAUGGACUACACUUUGAAUAACAAGGACUUAGAAGAUGAAGAACAAAGAGCUUCAUAUAGAUCAGCAACACUCUUUGGUGUUCUUCCUCCUGUGUUCAAGUCAGUGAUUACAUAUCCUUUUUGGACCUCAGUUUCCAGUCCUGCCAAAUAAGGGACUAAGGCUGGAUCAUGUUUCAAGCUGUCCUGAAGAGACCUCUAACUCUGCAGAGAAGCCUCAGGACCCCACCCCCUCACCCCAAGAAAAGUGUGAGGCUAGUGUGAGGAGGAAGAGGAGCAGAGAAGCCAAUGGAGAAGGAACUAUUCUUUAGAAAGGUUUCAACGGUGACCUGCCAACAGCUCCCAAAUCUACAGGUUUCACCCAAUUUUUGACUCAUGACCUGUUGACAACCUCCGCCUGGAUAUGUCAUGGGUUUCCUCAAAACCCAACAUUUACAAAACUGAACAUCCUCAAAACAUCUUCCCUUUCUCACCAUUCCUCUCAGUUAACAGCAUCUCCAUAUACUCCAUCACUUGGGUGGAACAUAUCAGAGUCCACUUAGCUUUCUUCACAAGCCUUUAAUGGAGGAAAUAUUUAUUGAGUAUCUACCAUGUGCCACCCACUGUGCCAACCACUGUCCAUAUGAUGGUGAAUAACCAAGACAAGGGCUUGCUCUCAUGGAGCUUGCAGUCUUGUGGAGAAAAAGAUAAUAGAAAGUAAAGACAUACUUUACUUUCAGGUAGUGAGUAGUGCUGAAAAUAAAGCAGUGGGAGAGAGAGUGAUAGUGGAAGCUACUUUAGAAAAUGUAGCCAGAGAGGGCCUCUCAGAGAGACCACUUGAAUGAUGAGAAGGGCCGUGAAAAGAAGGGGGAUGAUAAAGGAAACUGCAAGUACCUGAGCCCUGAGACAGUUAAAAAAAACAUCUGAGAGACCAGUGUCUGGAGUUUGGGCUGAGCAGAGAUGAACUUGGCCAAACCACGCUGGACUUGUACAAUGUGGUAAAAAUGAUGGAUUUAACUGCACUUUAUCUUAAUAUAUCUCUUUUAUCAACACCUUCCUUUCCACGCUCCCAGCCGCAUUGUUUAUCAAGAACCUGUUACAUUUCACUUGACUAUUUACCUUCUCAACUUUUCCAACUCCUCUUCCUCAGGCACCUUUGCUGGCUCUUCUCUUUCUCUCUUUACCCGCUAUCUCUCAGCAGGCCUCAGACUUCUCUCCUGUCUCUCCCAAGAGUGCUACCCUAGACCAGCCUGCCUCAGAUUCUGUUUCGGCCUAGAAGGGCCAAACAUCUGGUUUGUCAUCUUCCUUGGGUUUUAGCACAUUAUCACACACACAUUAGGUCUUAGCACAUUAUUAGAACUCGCAAAUCCCUUAUUUGAUAGAAGAACUGAUUUCCUUUUUAACCCUAAUUCCUCUCCCCUACCCCCAUUUGAAUGUGUAUCUUUUCAUUUGGAUGUGUUCUUGUGGAAUGUCCAUUUUAUUUGUAUGCACUUAUUUUAAAUUCUGUAAAUGAUAUUAUAGUAUCCCUU